Molecule: long non-coding RNA, 892 nt
Organism: Aegilops tauschii subsp. strangulata
Lineage: Eukaryota; Viridiplantae; Streptophyta; Magnoliopsida; Poales; Poaceae
Source: RefSeq, a predicted model, not a curated record
ACCACCACCAUAAAGCCAUGUCAUGUGCCGCGCCACCCGAGGUCGUUAUCGCGCAAGACCCAUCGACACGUCUUCUCAAUCCAGAUAUGGGCAAAGCCAUAGCUGCAAGCACUCCCCACGCCCCUAGGGUGCGGUCGUCACCUCCACCACCUCGAGGAAGACCGCCACCCACGCCCACCGUGGCCCGCGCCCGGUCAUCCGACGACGCGCGCCGCCACCAGCAGACCCGCCUCCACGCGCCUAGCCACCACGGGGCCGACCGAGCACAUGAGGUCCCAUGCAGCCGCCGCAGCUUCCCCACCCGAGCGCGCCACCAGCUUGGCCGAGCGCGUCAUCGCCGCCUCGCCAUCGCCUAACCGCCACAUCCCACGCUGCAGGGCACCCAACAACGAGGAGACAUGGCCCCGCUGCCACUGGCGCUAAUCGGGCUUGGCCUACGGUGCCCUCCAGCGCCGGCAAGGGAAAGGAGAGAAGGUAGGGGAGGACGGGAGCCAGCGGUGCUAGGGUCGCCCUGCCACUCGCGGGAGUGAACAAGACGGAACUAUCUGGAGGGAUACCCGGAUUAUCGCGGGAAAGAUAAGUCGACUGCUACAUCAGUGGUUGAUUCUCUACUUUGAAGAACAAGUGAAGGCGAUGAAGCUUCAGCUAGAGGUCCUCGACAAAAGUAGAGAUGAGCUCCUGAGGAUAGCCUGGAGGGAGUAAAUAAACUCGGCGGAGGGAGGGACAAGCUGGACUUCUACUUGCGAGCUCACUUACACUAGUAUUUAGGCGCCUGUGUGGGUUUGUUUUUGCGUUUGACGCGUGUGUCUCGUCUUGUCAGUCCUGUGUUGAGAUGGUUUUAAAAACUUGUAGUCUCUAUGACUCUAUCUGGCUCGAGUGCUGGGAAUAGUUC